Molecule: long non-coding RNA, 2557 nt
Filed under: Equus asinus (donkey)
Lineage: Eukaryota; Metazoa; Chordata; Mammalia; Perissodactyla; Equidae
Description: lncRNA (ENSEASG00005023705.1)
Source: RNAcentral
GAUGAGUGGUGUAGGUCUACCCCGGGAUCUGAAUCCAUGAACCCGGGCUGCCAAAGCAGAGCGUGCUGAACUUAACCCCUACACCACAGGGCUGGCCCAGGGUCUGAUCAUCUUAAAAUGAGCCAUCUACUUAAAUUCUAGAUUCAUUGAACUGAGCCAAUAAACUCCAGUUUGUAGCAGCUCUACCAACACAGAGGAUGCCUGAGUGUUCUAAGAUCCUGCUUAAAACAACAAGUCCUCUCGUCUUUAUUACAAUGUGACACAUUUUCUGAUGAAGCAGCAAUCUGAAAUAGAAAACAUGAUGUCAUAGACUAUGAAAUAAACGUUCUUAUUUUUAAUGAGAUCUGCCACCAUUUCAGACCUGCCUGAAGUUGAAAUGAACACGAUGAACAACUGUGAAUAAGAACUAACAUUUCAGGGUGUGAGGAAUCAGAGGUGACCGGAUGAUUUAGUUGUGUCCCAAGCAGGAUGUCCUAGUUUCAAAAUUAUUCAUGUAUUCAAAGCAACAGAAUAAAUCCCCAUUCUAUUUAAGAGGUAGUGAUUCUUUCUAUCCAAGUGAAAAUGCAGCACAUAGACCCAAAUUCUGCACUGAAAAUAGAAGAUUAUUAGCAUUAUAAUUUAUGUAAAUGGCUGCUCUAUUCAUGUGAAGGUAAUUGGUAUCUCUCAGUCAUAUGCUAAUUAUUACAUAAACAGAUCAUAAACAAUUAUGUGAGACGAUUUCCUUUUUUAAGCUGAAACUCCACCUAUUCCUUUAAAGGGUCUACUAUGUUAUUAUAUAAAACAGGAAAAGAAUGACUUAUAUGAGUUCCAAUGCUUUAAAAAUAAAAAUUCUGUUUGGUGCUCUAAAAAUUCUGUUAGGUUUGGUAGGCAUAAGAUCUAUCUAAGAUCUAGGGCAAUGAUUCCCCAUCUUACUGGAACUCACUGGAUAUGUUUGUCUUGGUGGUAGACCUUGAGAGGAAGAAUGGGCGUAAACUUCUCAAACUGAGUGCAUCAAAAUCACCUGGAGAGCUCGUUAAACGCAGGUUUCAGGGCUUCAUCCCCAGAGUUCCGAUUCAGUGGGCCUGACAAUUUGCGUUUCUAGCAAGUUCCAGGUGAUGCUGAUGCAAUUGGUUCCAGCACCACCCUUUAAGAAUCAGUGCUUUAAAGCACGGAUGUGGACUUGGACCCUCAAGGCUGAAGGGAUGUCUAGACUCAAUAGCUUCUUGACGUCCCGGUCCUGUGAUGCUCCACAUUUCCCAUGGAACUUUGGACUGUCUAUCAACGGACGUGUGACAACAUGCCAAAGACCAGCAACAGCGUAGAAGGCUUUUCACAAAGCGAUGCAAAGCUCAGUUACAAAUACGCAUCCUGGUAUUUGAAAAUCGAUACCUCUCUUAAUGAAGAAAUCUUAGCCAUAAACAAAAAGUGUGAUGGAUGCCAAACAAAGAGAAGAAUCAACAAGCAAAAAGAAAAAGAGUGUACUCCUAUGAACAAAAGACUUCAAAGACAAAUACUUAGUAAAACUGCCCUACAGCCAAUUAGUUAUGCUGCGAAAACGUGUGCGAUGAAAAUACUUGCAGCAAAGAUGUUGAUGGCAAAGCUGCUUAUGACGAAAAUGCCAGACACAGAUUUUGUUCUCUUAGGCAAAUACCCAGAAGUAGAAUUGAUGAACCAUUGAUGAGCCUGCAAGCGUCUACUCCCAGCACCCAGGGCUCUGGCUGCCAAAGACUUGUCUCCAAAAUACCUCCCCCCAUCCCGUCCUCUCUUCAUGCCCUUUCUCUUAUAAUACGUGCCUGUCCCCUGCUCCUUCCUGCAGAGCCCUGCCUUCUGAGAAUGCGCGGAUUGAAUUACUGAGGCAGCAAAUGAGUAGCUAAUGCUCUUAGGUAAUAUUGUUGAACUUGGGGAUCCAGUAAGGUAGGCCAAGGGGCUCCUUUCCACUAAAACGUGAUUUUGACUGGGACUGAACAUGGCGGUUCGUGUCAGAUGGUACCACAGGCUAAAAGGCAGAUGCCGUCAAAGCAGCAGGUGAAAGAUCUAAGAGUGAGGCCGACUUCGUGGUAAGAAGAGGAGGCUACUGGGAGUGAUGGAGGAUGUGGAAAAGCCCUACUGCUCCCAAAACACUUCCUCUCCCCACAAUAUAAAAUUGGAGGGACACUGGAUGGGAGAGGCUCUUGAGAGAGAGAAUGUUAAAGAGGAGCUGGAGGAAGCAUCUGCCCAGGAGGGUGAGGAUGGUAUUCUCCAGACAGACAGACAGCGUCUGGGUACCUGGAGGGCCGACUUCUUGAGGACAGAACCCCACCUCACCUCUUGAAGUCGGGGGCACCGUGGUUGCUCGAUACCUAUUGAAUGAUUGACUGACUGGCUGAUGGAAUAAAUGAAGUGAAGAAGGAAAUGGCUGACUUUGCGUUCUAUCAACAACUGCCCGACAUUCAGCCAUAAUCUCAAGGGAUUCACAGGCCUUGAAAAAAUGGCAUUAUGUAGCCUUCACUGCAACUCAGGGUGAGUUGUCUGAAUGCAGGGGGCUCAUGCUGAAGGGGUCAGCCAGAAAGAAUGGGAAGCGUCAUUUAUAAGGGGUUGU